This 450-nucleotide ribosomal RNA is filed under the name uncultured bacterium. Its description in RNAcentral is "partial 16S ribosomal RNA". It matches the Rfam family "Bacterial small subunit ribosomal RNA", at positions 354 to 796 of the family's 1533-position model. The record is from RNAcentral.
GUGGGGAAUUUUGGACAAUGGGCGCAAGCUUGAUCCAGCCAUUCCGCGUGCAGGAUGAAGGCCUUCGGGUUGUAAACUGCUUUUGUACGGAACGAAAAGCCUCUGGUUAAUACCCGGGGGUCAUGACGGUACCGUAAGAAUAAGCACCGGCUAACUACGUGCCAGCAGCCGCGGUAAUACGUAGGGUGCAAGCGUUAAUCGGAAUUACUGGGCGUAAAGCGUGCGCAGGCGGUUUUGUAAGACUGGCGUGAAAUCCCCGGGCUCAACCUGGGAAUUGCGCUUGUGACUGCAAGGCUGGAGUGCGGCAGAGGGUGAUGGAAUUCCGCGUGUAGCAGUGAAAUGCGUAGAUAUGCGGAGGAACACCGAUGGCGAAGGCAAUCCCCUGGGCCUGCACUGACGCUCAUGCACGAAAGCGUGGGGAGCAAACAGGAUUAGAAACCCGAGUAGUCC